UUAUAAUAGACUAUCUGGAAAAAUACCUGCAUGGAUCGGGGAAAGCCAGCUAGAAUUGGUCUUUUUAAGUUUACAAUCUAAUGAGUUCCAUGGAAAUAUACCAUUUCAGCUGUGUCGAUUACAAAAUAUUCGGCUGUUGGACCUCUCCAUAAACAAUAUUUCAGGAACCAUACCCCAUUGCCUGGAGAAUUUCACCCAUAUGUCAAGAAAACAGUUAGACGACAACAAUAACAUAUAUGGUUACAAUUUUUCUGCAUCUUGGGGAGAAGGUGGCGGUUUUCAAGCCAAGUAUGCUGAUAGGGCCCUGAUUGGA
This 313-nucleotide unclassified non-coding RNA is filed under the name Hevea brasiliensis (rubber tree). Lineage: Eukaryota; Viridiplantae; Streptophyta; Magnoliopsida; Malpighiales; Euphorbiaceae. The record is from RNAcentral.